Molecule: ribosomal RNA, 2930 nt
Filed under: Bacillus amyloliquefaciens
Lineage: Bacteria; Bacillati; Bacillota; Bacilli; Caryophanales; Bacillaceae
Also listed under: 1 other name
Description: 23S ribosomal RNA
Rfam family: Bacterial large subunit ribosomal RNA
Source: RNAcentral
GGUUAAGUUAGAAAGGGCGCACGGUGGAUGCCUUGGCACUAGGAGCCGAUGAAGGACGGGACGAACACCGAUAUGCUUCGGGGAGCUGUAAGCAAGCUUUGAUCCGGAGAUUUCCGAAUGGGGAAACCCACCACUCGUAAUGGAGUGGUAUCCAUAUCUGAAUACAUAGGAUAUGAGAAGGCAGACCCGGGGAACUGAAACAUCUAAGUACCCGGAGGAAGAGAAAGCAAAUGCGAUUCCCUGAGUAGCGGCGAGCGAAACGGGACCAGCCCAAACCAAGAGGCUUGCCUCUUGGGGUUGUAGGACACUCUGUACGGAGUUACAAAGGAACGAGGUAGAUGAAGAGGUCUGGAAAGGCCCGCCAUAGGAGGUAACAGCCCUGUAGUCAAAACUUCGUUCUCUCCUGAGUGGAUCCUGAGUACGGCGGAACACGUGAAAUUCCGUCGGAAUCCGGGAGGACCAUCUCCUAAGGCUAAAUACUCCCUAGUGACCGAUAGUGAACCAGUACCGUGAGGGAAAGGUGAAAAGCACCCCGGAAGGGGAGUGAAAGAGAUCCUGAAACCGUGUGCCUACAAGUAGUCAGAGCCCGUUAACGGGUGAUGGCGUGCCUUUUGUAGAAUGAACCGGCGAGUUACGAUCCCGUGCAAGGUUAAGCAGAAGAUGCGGAGCCGCAGCGAAAGCGAGUCUGAAUAGGGCGAAUUGAGUACGUGGUCGUAGACCCGAAACCAGGUGAUCUACCCAUGUCCAGGGUGAAGUUCAGGUAACACUGAAUGGAGGCCCGAACCCACGCACGUUGAAAAGUGCGGGGAUGAGGUGUGGGUAGGGGUGAAAUGCCAAUCGAACCUGGAGAUAGCUGGUUCUCUCCGAAAUAGCUUUAGGGCUAGCCUCAAGGUAAGAGUCUCGGAGGUAGAGCACUGAUUGGACUAGGGGCCCCUACCGGGUUACCGAAUUCAGUCAAACUCCGAAUGCCGAUGACUUAUCCUUGGGAGUCAGACUGCGAGUGAUAAGAUCCGUAGUCGAAAGGGAAACAGCCCAGACCGCCAGCUAAGGUCCCAAAGUAUACGUUAAGUGGAAAAGGAUGUGGAGUUGCUUAGACAACCAGGAUGUUGGCUUAGAAGCAGCCACCAUUUAAAGAGUGCGUAAUAGCUCACUGGUCGAGUGACUCUGCGCCGAAAAUGUACCGGGGCUAAACGUAUCACCGAAGCUGCGGACUGUUCUUCGAACAGUGGUAGGAGAGCGUUCUAAGGGCUGUGAAGCAAGACCGGAAGGACUUGUGGAGCGCUUAGAAGUGAGAAUGCCGGUAUGAGUAGCGAAAGAGGGGUGAGAAUCCCCUCCACCGAAUGCCUAAGGUUUCCUGAGGAAGGCUCGUCCGCUCAGGGUUAGUCGGGACCUAAGCCGAGGCCGAAAGGCGUAGGCGAUGGAUAACAGGUUGAUAUUCCUGUACCACCUCCUCACCAUUUGAGCAAUGGGGGGACGCAGGAGGAUAGGGUAAGCGCGGUAUUGGAUAUCCGCGUCCAAGCAGUUAGGCUGGGAAAUAGGCAAAUCCGUUUCCCGUGAAGGCUGAGCUGUGAUGGCGAGCGAAUUAUAGUAGCGAAGUUCCUGAUUCCACACUGCCAAGAAAAGCCUCUAGCGAGGUGAGAGGUGCCCGUACCGCAAACCGACACAGGUAGGCGAGGAGAGAAUCCUAAGGUGAUCGAGAGAACUCUCGUUAAGGAACUCGGCAAAAUGACCCCGUAACUUCGGGAGAAGGGGUGCUCUGUUAGGGUGCAAGCCCGAGAGAGCCGCAGUGAAUAGGCCCAGGCGACUGUUUAGCAAAAACACAGGUCUCUGCGAAGCCGUAAGGCGAAGUAUAGGGGCUGACGCCUGCCCGGUGCUGGAAGGUUAAGAGGAGCGCUUAGCGUAAGCGAAGGUGCGAAUUGAAGCCCCAGUAAACGGCGGCCGUAACUAUAACGGUCCUAAGGUAGCGAAAUUCCUUGUCGGGUAAGUUCCGACCCGCACGAAAGGCGCAACGAUCUGGGCACUGUCUCAACGAGAGACUCGGUGAAAUUAUAGUACCUGUGAAGAUGCAGGUUACCCGCGACAGGACGGAAAGACCCCGUGGAGCUUUACUGCAGCCUGAUAUUGAAUGUUGGUACAGCUUGUACAGGAUAGGUAGGAGCCUUGGAAACCGGAGCGCCAGCUUCGGUGGAGGCAUCGGUGGGAUACUACCCUGGCUGUAUUGACCUUCUAACCCGCCGCCCUUAUCGGGCGGGGAGACAGUGUCAGGUGGGCAGUUUGACUGGGGCGGUCGCCUCCUAAAAGGUAACGGAGGCGCCCAAAGGUUCCCUCAGAAUGGUUGGAAAUCAUUCGCAGAGUGUAAAGGCACAAGGGAGCUUGACUGCGAGACCUACAAGUCGAGCAGGGACGAAAGUCGGGCUUAGUGAUCCGGUGGUUCCGCAUGGAAGGGCCAUCGCUCAACGGAUAAAAGCUACCCCGGGGAUAACAGGCUUAUCUCCCCCAAGAGUCCACAUCGACGGGGAGGUUUGGCACCUCGAUGUCGGCUCAUCGCAUCCUGGGGCUGUAGUCGGUCCCAAGGGUUGGGCUGUUCGCCCAUUAAAGCGGUACGCGAGCUGGGUUCAGAACGUCGUGAGACAGUUCGGUCCCUAUCCGUCGCGGGCGCAGGAAAUUUGAGAGGAGCUGUCCUUAGUACGAGAGGACCGGGAUGGACGCACCGCUGGUGUACCAGUUGUUCUGCCAAGGGCAUCGCUGGGUAGCUAUGUGCGGACGGGAUAAGUGCUGAAAGCAUCUAAGCAUGAAGCCCCCCUCAAGAUGAGAUUUCCCAUUCCGCAAGGAAGUAAGAUCCCUGAAAGAUGAUCAGGUUGAUAGGUCUGAGGUGGAAGUGUGGCGACACAUGGAGCUGACAGAUACUAAUCGAUCGAGGACUUAACCAA